RNAcentral lists this ribosomal RNA (758 nucleotides) under uncultured bacterium. Its description in RNAcentral is "bacterial SSU rRNA". It matches the Rfam family "Bacterial small subunit ribosomal RNA", at positions 8 to 796 of the family's 1533-position model. The record is from RNAcentral.
AGAGUUUGAUCAUGGCUCAGAAUCAACGCUGGCGGCGCGCCUAACACAUGCAAGUCGAACGAGAAAGCAGGAGCAAUCUUGUGAGUAAAGUGGCGUACGGGUGAGUAACACGUGGAUCAUCUACCCUCUUGUGGGGGAUAACCCUGGGAAACCGGGGCUAAUACCGCAUAAGUCCGAGAGGAGAAAGCAGCAAUGCGCAGGAGGAGGAGUCCGCGGCCGAUUAGCUAGUUGGUAGGGUAAAAGCCUACCAAGGCUACGAUCGGUAGCCGGCCUGAGAGGGCACACGGCCACACUGGCACUGAAACACGGGCCAGACUCCUACGGGAGGCAGCAGUGGGGAAUCUUGCACAAUGGGGGCAACCCUGAUGCAGCGACGCCGCGUGAGCGAUGAAGCCCUUCGGGGUGUAAAGCUCUUUCGGCAGGGAAGAUUAUGACGGUACCUGCAGAAGCAGCUGCGGCUAACUACGUGCCAGCAGCCGCGGUAAUACGUAGGCAGCAAGCGUUGUUCGGAGUUACUGGGCGUAAAGGGUGUGUAGGCGGUUUUCUAAGUCUGGUGUGAAAUCUCCCGGCUCAACUGGGAGGGUGCGCCGAAAACUGGAAGGCUAGAGUGCGGGAUGGGAGAGUGGAAUUCCUGGUGUAGCGGUGAAAUGCGUAGAUAUCAGGAGGAACACCGGUGGUGUAGACGGCUCUCUGGACCGCAACUGACGCUGAGACACGAAAGCGUGGGUAGCAAACAGGAUUAGAUACCCCAGUAGUCC